Molecule: ribosomal RNA, 508 nt
Filed under: uncultured bacterium
Lineage: Bacteria
Description: partial 16S ribosomal RNA
Rfam family: Bacterial small subunit ribosomal RNA
Source: RNAcentral
AUUGAACGCUGGCGGCAUGCCUUACACAUGCAAGUCGAACGGCAGCGGGGGAGAAGCUUGCUUUUCCUGCCGGCGAGUGGCGAACGGGUGAGUAAUACAUCGGAACGUGCCCUGUAGUGGGGGAUAACUAGUCGAAAGAUUAGCUAAUACCGCAUACGACCUGAGGGUGAAAGUGGGGGACCGCAAGGCCUCAUGCUAUAGGAACGGCCGAUGUCUGAUUAGCUAGUUGGUGGGGUAAAGGCCUACCAAGGCGACGAUCAGUAGCUGGUCGGAUAGGACGAUCGACCACACUGGGGCUGAGACCCGGCCCAGACUCCUACAGGAGGGAGCAGUGGGGAAUUUUGGACAAUGGGCGAAAGCCUGAUCCAGCAAUGCCGCGUGUGUGAAGAAGGCCUUCGGGUUGUAAAGCACUUUUGUCCGGAAAGAAAUGGCUCUGGUUAAUACCUGGGGUCGAUGACGGUACCGGAAGAAUAAGGACCGGCUAACUACGUGCCAGCCGCCGCGGUAA